UACGUAGGGGGCAAGCGUUAUCCGGAAUUAUUGGGUGUAAAGGGUGCGUAGACGGGAAAUUAAGUUAGUUGUGAAAUCCCUCGGCUCAACUGAGGAACUGCAACUAAAACUGAUUUUCUUGAGUGCAGGAGAGGAAAGUGGAAUUCCUAGUGUAGCGGUGAAAUGCGUAGAUAUUAGGAGGAACACCAGUGGCGAAGGCGACUUUCUGGACUGUAACUGACGUUGAGGCACGAAAGUGUGGGGAGCAAACAGG
This 253-nucleotide ribosomal RNA is filed under the name uncultured bacterium. Its description in RNAcentral is "partial 16S ribosomal RNA". It matches the Rfam family "Bacterial small subunit ribosomal RNA", at positions 524 to 776 of the family's 1533-position model. The record is from RNAcentral.